RNAcentral lists this ribosomal RNA (494 nucleotides) under Ctenops nobilis (frail gourami). RNAcentral describes it as "partial 12S ribosomal RNA". It matches the Rfam family "Bacterial small subunit ribosomal RNA", at positions 803 to 1533 of the family's 1533-position model. The record is from RNAcentral. Lineage: Eukaryota; Metazoa; Chordata; Actinopteri; Anabantiformes; Osphronemidae.
UAAACAUUGAUAACAUCUUACAUUUGUUAUCCGCCAGGGGACUACAAGCAUCAGCUUAAAACCCAAAGGACUUGGCGGUGCUUAAGAUCCACCUAGAGGAGCCUGUUCUAGAACCGAUAACCCCCGUUCAACCUCACCUUCUCUUGUUCAUUCCGCCUAUAUACCGCCGUCGUCAGCUUACCCUCUGAGGGUUUAAUAGUAAGCUAAAUUGGCACAGCCUAAAACGUCAGGUCGAGGUGUAGCAUAUGAAAAGGAAAGAAAUGGGCUACAUUCCCUAAUAUAGCGAACACGAAUAAUGCACUGAAACAAACAUUUAAAGGAGGAUUUAGCAGUAAGUAGAAAAUAGAGCGUUCUACUGAAACUGGCCCUGAAGCGCGCACACACCGCCCGUCACUCUCCCCAAGCCUUAAACCAAUAUAAAUAAUACCUCACAACCGCAAAGGGGAGGCAAGUCGUAACAUGGUAAGUGCACCGGAAGGUGCGCUUGGAAUAAU